GAUGAAUGCUGGCGGCGUGCCUAAUACAUGCUAGUCUAGCGAACGGACGAGAAGCUUGUUUCUCUGCUGUUAGCCGCGGACGGGUGAGUAAAACGUGGAUAACCUCCCUAUAAGACUGGGAUAACUUCGGGAAACCGUAGCUCAUCCCGGAUAAUUUUGUGAACCGCAUGGGUCAAAAGUGAACGCCGGUCUUGCUGUCACUUCUAUAUGGAUCAGCGCUGCAUUAGCUAGUUGGUAAGGUAACGGCUUACCAAGGCAACGAUCCAUAGCCGACCUGAGAGGGUGAUCGGCCACACUGGAACUGAGACACGGUCCAGACUCCUACGGGAGGCAGCAGUAGGGAAUCUUCCGCAAUGGGCGAAAGCCUGACGGAGCAACGCCGCGUGAGUGAUGAAGGUCUUCGGAUCGUAAAACUCUGUUAUUAGGGAAGAACAUAUGUGUAAGUAGCUGUGCACAUCUUGACGGUACCGAAUCAGAAAGCCACGGCUAACUACGUG
Molecule: ribosomal RNA, 497 nt
Filed under: uncultured bacterium
Lineage: Bacteria
Description: partial 16S ribosomal RNA
Rfam family: Bacterial small subunit ribosomal RNA
Source: RNAcentral